This 402-nucleotide ribosomal RNA is filed under the name Crustacea environmental sample. RNAcentral describes it as "partial small subunit ribosomal RNA". It matches the Rfam family "Eukaryotic small subunit ribosomal RNA", at positions 30 to 432 of the family's 1831-position model. Lineage: Eukaryota; Metazoa; Arthropoda. The record is from RNAcentral.
GCUUGUCUCAAAGAUUAAGCCAUGCAUGUCUAAGUACAAGCCUCAGUAAGGUGAAACCGCGAAUGGCUCAUUAAAUCACACCUAAUCUACUGGAAAGUUACUAGUUACUUGGAUAACUGAGGUAAUUCUUGAGCUAAUACAUGCGAAAAAUCUCGACUCACGGAGAGAUGCUUUUAUUAGAUCAAAACCAAACGGCUUCGGCCGUCUCAUUGGUGACUCUGAAUAACUUUGGGCUGAUCGCACGGUCUUAGUGCCGGCGACGUAUCUUUCAAGUGUCUGCCUUAUCAACUGUCGAUGGUAGGUUACGCGCCUACCAUGGUCGUAACGGGUAACGGGGGAUCAGGGUUCGAUUCCGGAGAGGGAGCCUGAGAAACGGCUACCACAUCCAAGGAAGGCAGCAGG